CUUUGCAUCGCUUCCUGCCUAUCGCGUUUUCUUUAUGUUGCUGAACCCUUUGGCUGAACGAGCCUUCACCCUAUCGAGGGGUUCGUAACAUAAAUGGGGGCUCGUCCGGGAUCCUGUGUCCGGAUAGUAGCUAAGGAAUUCGAGUGAUCUAAUUUAAUUCGGGUGAUCCACGUUCUCUGGUUAGACAGAGUAAGCCAGCGGGGCUGUGCUUAGCGCCAGUCCUGACAACGGUUUACUGUUUAUUAUUUUGCCUUUCUUAUUUUAGUUUGUUAUUUUUGGAGGUACUCCGGGGGAGAGAGCGAUCUCUUAAUCGGUACCCUCUGAAGACUAGAGAGGAAAAGUUAGCUUUAUGGGUUAGGUAAGUAGGCCCAGAGAAUGUUGGAUUAUCCUGAUUAUUUCUGCAUAUUGUUGUUUAAAAAUGGCAACGUUUGAGUUAAGCCGAUUUUUAGAUCAACCAAAUGUUGAAGUUUUAGGGACAUGUCGAAAAAGUGAUUUGUCUCUUAUUGCUCAACAUUAUGGGAUUCCUUUUUCUAGAACACUAAGAAAAGCAGAGUUAAAAGAUUGUUUAGUGGCUGGCUUGGUUAAUAAAGGUGUUUUUUCGGCCAUGGAGUCUAGUCCCACUGUAGCGGCGGAGUUAGAGGCACCAGCGGCUGCGGGAACUUCGCCUUUACGCGUAUCGCGUGGUGGUCCAGUAACUCCCUUGGUGGGGGUUGGUGCGGAGGAAGGUUUAGCCUACUCGAUGCCUAAAUUUGAGCCUCUUUCUCUUUCAACAGAAUCAACAGGGAGUCGCUCAGAUGCACGUCUAAAACUACGUUUAGCACGGCUGCAGUUGGAGACCCAGGACCGAGCUCAGGCAAGGCAGGAUGACUUGAAGCGUCAGAUCGAAAUGUAUCGAAUUGAUGCUGAUACCAAAGUACGACUGCGGGAGUUGGAGUUACAGGCUGCGCCCGAGUGCACCGGUGCUGUCCGCCCCCGACCUGACUCGUCCGUUCCAGCUGGAGGUGGACGCCAGCGCGGUUGGAGUGGGAGCUGUCCUUCUGCAGGAGGGUGCUGACAACCUAGGCCACCCUGUAUCAUACUUCUCAGCUAAGUUCAACAGUCAUCAGUUGAAUUAUUCAACCAUUGAAAAAGAGACCUUAGCUCUGUUGCUAGCGUUACAACAGUUUAACGUCUACGUGGGGGCUAGUGCGUCUCCUGUCGUUGUUUAUACAGAUCAUAAUCCACUUGUUUUUCUGAGCAAAAUGUAUAACCAAAAUCAACGACUCAUGCGUUGGGCCUUAAUGGUUCAGCCGUACAAUCUUGAGAUCCGUCAUAAAAGAGGCUCUGACAACGUAGUUGCAGAUGCAUUGUCUCGCGGAUUAAUUUAGGAACAGGUUUUUCUGUAUGAAUCCAUGCAGAAUCAGUUUUUCUUUUUCCCUCUAAGGAAGGAGGAAAAGAGGAAGGAAAAAAAAUGAUUCUUCCUCUAGGGGGGGAAGUGUUACGGCCACAGCCUUCUGAGUUUGUUACUUUUGUAAUUAUUAAUUGGUUUGGCCUUUCUGAGUGCAGGCUCUGCCCCUGCGCACCUGAGAGCGGUUGCGGUGAUGGCUCAGGCUGAGCAUAUAGAGGGGAGAGCGACUGAGCGCCGGGAAAGGAGGAGACCUGCGAGAGCGCCAGGCCCGGCUGCAACACCAGGAGACCAGUGUUUUGUGUUCGAGCGACUAUUGUGUUAUGUUAAGGUGUAAAACGGAGAGGCUGGAGGUUGGAAAACUAUAAAAGAUCUUUGCAUCGCUUCCUGCCUAUCGCGUUUUCUUUAUGUUGCUGACCCCUUGGCUGAACGAGCCUUCACCCUAUCGAGGGGUUCGUAACA
Gasterosteus aculeatus aculeatus (three-spined stickleback) is the source of this 1846-nucleotide long non-coding RNA. NCBI's taxonomy places the organism in Eukaryota, Metazoa, Chordata, Actinopteri, Perciformes, Gasterosteidae. The record is from Ensembl.